This 18-nucleotide ribosomal RNA is filed under the name Ulvella sp. 4-BER-2007. RNAcentral describes it as "partial 5.8S ribosomal RNA". Lineage: Eukaryota; Viridiplantae; Chlorophyta; Ulvophyceae; Ulvales; Ulvellaceae. The record is from RNAcentral.
UCUGCCUCAGCGUCGGAA